CCUACGGGAUGCAGCAGUGGGGAAUAUUGCACAAUGGGCGCAAGCCUGAUGCAGCCAUGCCGCGUGUAUGAAGAAGGCCUUCGGGUUGUAAAGUACUUUCAGCGGGGAGGAAGGUGUUGUGGUAAAUAACCGCAGCAAUUGACGUUACCCGCAGGAGAAGCACCGGCUAACUCCGUGCCAGCAGCCGGGUAAUACGGAGGGUGCAUGCGUUAAUCGGAAUUACUGGGCGUAAAGCGCACGCAGGCGGUCUGUCAAGUCGGAUGUGAAAUCCCCGGGCUCAACCUGGGAACUGCAUCUGAUACUGGCAAGCUUGAGUCUCGUAGAGGGGGGUAGAAUUCCAGGUGUAGCGGUGAAAUGCGUAGAGAUCUGGAGGAAUACCGGUGGCGAAGGCGGCCCCCUGGACGAAGACUGACGCUCAGGUGCGAAAGCGUGGGGAGCAAACAGGAUUAGAUACCCUAGUAGUC
This 464-nucleotide ribosomal RNA is filed under the name uncultured bacterium. Its description in RNAcentral is "bacterial SSU rRNA". It matches the Rfam family "Bacterial small subunit ribosomal RNA", at positions 338 to 795 of the family's 1533-position model. The record is from RNAcentral.